UACGUAGGUGGCAAGCGUUGUCCGGAUUUACUGGGCGUAAAGAGCGCGCAGGCGGCCAGGUCAGUCGAAUGUGAAAGCCCCCGGCUCAACUGGGGAGGGUCGUUCGGUACUGCCUGGCUCGAAGGUAGGAGAGGGAAGUGGAAUUUCAGGUGUAGUGGUGAAAUGCGUAGAUAUCUGAAGGAACACCAGUGGCGAAGGCGACUUUCUGGCCUAUUCUUGACGCUGAGGCGCGAAAGCUAGGGGAGCGAACAGU
Molecule: ribosomal RNA, 253 nt
Filed under: uncultured bacterium
Lineage: Bacteria
Description: partial 16S ribosomal RNA
Rfam family: Bacterial small subunit ribosomal RNA
Source: RNAcentral